This 1203-nucleotide long non-coding RNA is filed under the name Macaca fascicularis (crab-eating macaque). RNAcentral describes it as "lncRNA (ENSMFAG00000062975.1)". The record is from RNAcentral. Lineage: Eukaryota; Metazoa; Chordata; Mammalia; Primates; Cercopithecidae.
GACGGGUUCUCCGGACCGGGCGGGGUUCUCUGCCCUGGGCGUGGCGGCUCCGAGCUGGGCUCCGCAGAGUCCGAGUUCGGGAUCCGGAGUCCUUGCGCCUGGGCUUUGUCUCGGCCUCGUGUGGCACCGGGGCUUCAGCUACCAAUGCAUGCUGCGAUAAAGCAUGGGUCGCUGGGUGGUGCCGGUCGCCCUGCGGGUGGGAGCCGGUCCCAUGUAAAAAAUGCAGUAAUGGACGUCCAUGUAAAUAACAUUCCCAUGCUUUAAUGAAGCAUAAUUUCUUGACAUUGCAGUUUCUAAGUGCCCUGUGUUGAGGUCGGGAAAGCUAAAGGGCAGUCAGAGGUCAAGGUCAGCAAAGCACCACCUUUGACAUUUGAAAUUCAGCAGCAGGUAUCACAGUGAACCCCAUUCCAGCAUCCAGGAAGUUUCUCUGCCCUGCCUCUCCUCCAGCCACCUCGGAAUCUGUGUCUGCAGUGUUGGUCCUGCUUUCCUCUCUCUCCUCUGCCUUUUCCUUCUCUUCACCAACUUCUACCGAGUGCCUCUGGUGUCCCAGACAGUGGCAGUGGGAGGACAAAGACUAAUAAACCCCGCCCUGGUCCUCAAAGAAUUGAUGUUUUCUGUGCAGACAUUAAGUUACACUGUCAUAUAUAGUGUUGACAGACAUUGAUACAGAUUUCCUGUGAAGUGCAGAAGCACCAUCCUAGAAGCAGCGAUGCAGAGGCAGCACUGGUGACUCACACAUGGAGAGCUGGAGUUCUUGGUCUAGUGGGAUAAACUGACCUGGACAUCAUUUCAGUGCAGCGGAGUGCCUCGCUGAGUUGUGUACAACAGAGAGCUCAGGUGUUGGGGGCAGUUGACCGGUUGAAGAAUGCAUUGCUAUUAUGUGAGGAACAUUGGGCUUUGAAAAAGCAGAACUGGAUCCACGUUCUUGCCUGGUAACUCUAAUUAUCAUCUAGUUUGUAAAGGGGAAUGCAGUUCACUGAAAAAUUCGUAUGACAGUGGGACAAGGAUUGGGCCUCUGCAUUGGUUUGUGUAAUAUAGGUCACAUGAAAGAGCAUUUAGGCUGCAGGGAGACUUUUCAUCUCUAUAACUUUACUUUCACAGGACAAUUCCAUCAUGAUUUGAAGAUUUUGGAGUCAAAACUUCAUUGUUCUGAUCUUUUCCAGUGUGCCUACAAAUAUGUAUGUACACAUUGUAAAAAACAAA